ACAGAAGACUGGAUUGGCAUACCUACACACAUCUCACUGCCUUGCGUCUGGUGAUUUCUUCUCCUUGACUCAGAGUUUAAUGUCAAGGGAAGGUAAUGCCCUCUGUUCCAGUUGUGUACUACUCUAUCUUCAUUGAUGAAAACUACCACAACAAUUCCAUACCACUUUGGCAAGUUACCGGCAUUUCCAUCCAAUCCAAAUUUUGCACCAAUGCAAGCCGCCACAACUAUUUGGCAUAUCAACAUUUGACUUCCUCCCUCAAGGAAGAGCUUCCUCCUCUCCCACUUAUCAACACCAUACAUCGAAACUAUUGUUGCAGCAGCAUUAACAAGUCCGGUGAUCACAACUGAUAUGAGAGAAGCAUCACUUCCCAAAGUUAAUAGUUCAUUUUUUUUCUCUCAGAAACUUUUAUUAGGCAAUAACUAAUUUCCCAAAGUUUGACAUAAAACAAGAGUAGCAUAUUUAAAUGAAUAGCUAUAAUACUGAUAGUCUUGGCCUCUGUUGAGAUUGUUUUACUAUGAAUAACUUUUGGUUUUAUUUUGAACUUUGCUUGAACUUCCUUCCA
Molecule: long non-coding RNA, 565 nt
Organism: Rosa chinensis
Lineage: Eukaryota; Viridiplantae; Streptophyta; Magnoliopsida; Rosales; Rosaceae
Exons: 2
Source: RefSeq, a predicted model, not a curated record